AGCUUGCUCCCGGAUGUUAGCGGCGGACGGGUGAGUAACACGUGGGUAACCUGCCUGUAAGACUGGGAUAACUCCGGGAAACCGGAGCUAAUACCGGAUAGUUCCUUGAACCGCAUGGUUCAAGGAUGAAAGACGGUUUCGGCUGUCACUUACAGAUGGACCCGCGGCGCAUUAGCUAGUUGGUGAGGUAACGGCUCACCAAGGCGACGAUGCGUAGCCGACCUGAGAGGGUGAUCGGCCACACUGGGACUGAGACACGGCCCAGACUCCUACGGGAGGCAGCAGUAGGGAAUCUUCCGCAAUGGACGAAAGUCUGACGGAGCAACGCCGCGUGAGUGAUGAAGGUUUUCGGAUCGUAAAGCUCUGUUGUUAGGGAAGAACAAGUGCAAGAGUAACUGCUUGCACCUUGACGGUACCUAACCAGAAAGCCACGGCUAACUACGUGCCAGCAGCCGCGGUAAUACGUAGGUGGCAAGCGUUGUCCGGAAUUAUUGGGCGUAAAGGGCUCGCAGGCGGUUUCUUAAGUCUGAUGUGAAAGCCCCCGGCUCAACCGGGGAGGGUCAUUGGAAACUGGGAAACUUGAGUGCAGAAGAGGAGAGUGGAAUUCCACGUGUAGCGGUGAAAUGCGUAGAGAUGUGGAGGAACACCAGUGGCGAAGGCGACUCUCUGGUCUGUAACUGACGCUGAGGAGCGAAAGCGUGGGGAGCGAACAGGAUUAGAUACCC
Molecule: ribosomal RNA, 725 nt
Filed under: Bacillus pumilus
Lineage: Bacteria; Bacillati; Bacillota; Bacilli; Caryophanales; Bacillaceae
Description: bacterial SSU rRNA
Rfam family: Bacterial small subunit ribosomal RNA
Source: RNAcentral